AAAACUCAGGAGAGUCUCUUUGCUGUCUGUGGUGAGGGCGGCGAAAGAGCGCCGAAGGUGUAAGCGGCGGAUUCGGCUUUUGAUAGCGAAUGCUGCGAGUCUCUCAGGCAAAAGGAUGGAGGUAUAA
This 127-nucleotide non-coding RNA is filed under the name uncultured Mediterraneibacter sp. RNAcentral's name for it is "Glycine riboswitch". It matches the Rfam family "Glycine riboswitch aptamer", at positions 7 to 88 of the family's 94-position model. Rfam says of the family: This family represents the bacterial glycine riboswitch. Glycine riboswitches usually consist of two metabolite-binding aptamers domains with similar structures in tandem. The aptamers cooperatively bind glycine to regulate the expression of downstream genes. The record is from RNAcentral. Lineage: Bacteria; Bacillati; Bacillota; Clostridia; Lachnospirales; Lachnospiraceae.